CACCCCCGAAUCACCGCGUAGCCAGCUCAGGCUAUCGGAACCAACAUCAUUAGCAUAGCAAUAAAGAUGCUCAACCCAAUGAAAAAGAAUACUUACAAGCCAUCCUUAUUGUCAGCAUACCCGCCGUUGUAGAAAACGCGCUCACAGUCGCAGAAACUUCCGUGUAAGGACCUUGAAGCAAAAGGACCAAAAACCGGCCCUUUCACUUCAAGGCCACUUACACUACAGUUUCUAAGCGCUCCUGCUCGCGCUCUCAGACCAAUGAGCGGUUAUUUUUUUGCAUUGGUGCUAAAAUAGAAAGGUCAAAUAAGGUCAAUCAAGGAAGUGAUCAUUUUUGAACCAGGUUGUUAUCUUUGGCAUCAUGUUGGCAAUCGUCAUUUUAGGCAACAUCUUGGCACGGCACGUUCCUAAGAUUCCGUUGCCAUUCUUCUUGAUCGGCCUUGGGGCGGCAUUAGCCGUUAUGCCUUCUCUUCGUAAUUUCACACUUGAUCCAUCGGUCUUCUCCUUUGCGAUCAUUGCCCCACUGUUGUUUAACGAAGGUCAAAAUGCUUCACGUAUUCAAAUUGGCCGCUCCUUAACCAAUAUCGUGUCGUUGGCAGUUGGCCUCGUGCUGGUUUCGGUCAUUAUCUUAGGCUUUGGCGUUCAUGCGUUGUUCCCAAUUAUUCCGUUAAGUUUGGCCUUCGCACUCAUUGCCAUCGUCACGCCAACAGAUGCAUCAGCGGUCAGCGCCGUUGCCCAAACCAAUCCUUUGAGCGACAGCCAAAUGCAACUAUUGUCCAAUGAAAGUCUGUUCAACGAUGCAGCCGGCAUUGUCGCAUUCGAUCUGGCACUGACUGCCUAUGUUUCCGGACAAUUUUCACCAACAGACGCCUUGCUCGAUUUUCUCUUCGUCUUCUUCGGCGGUAUCCUGGUCGGGGCAGUCUUAGGUAUGCUGAUCGUGAAUUUGCGGGCCUGGCUGAUUCAUAUCGGCGACGAUGAGCCGUUGAUCAUGGUCGGUAUUCAGUUACUGACGCCAUUGUUGGUUUAUUUUCUAGCCGAAGAACUUGGCCUGUCCGGGAUUCUGGCGGUUGUUGCUUCUGGGAUUGCGCAAGGUGUAGAGCGCGAUCGUUUGCGACUGACCAGUGCCCGCAUGCAAAUCGUCAGCGCCAAUGUCUGGGAAAUGGUAGCGGCCAUUCUUUCCGGACUCGUCUUCGUUUUGCUCGGCCUCUCGCUGCCCAAUGUCAUCGUCAGCGCCUUGCGCGGACAAGCUGGCUUGUUCAGUUUGCUUGUGGGUAUUGGCAUUUUCAUUUACGCAGCCAAGUCACUGGUUCGCCUACUAUGGAGUCGAACCUUGCUGCGAACUGGUAAAAAACACCGCUGGCGCAACGCCGUCAUUAUGAUGCUGGGUGGUGCGAAUGGGACCAUCACCUUAUCUUUGGCGUUUUCAAUGCCACAAAUUGUUAAUGGCCACAGUUUUCCGCUCCGGCAGGGAUUAAUUCUGAUCGCGGCAACUGUCAUUUUACUCAGUCUGAUUGUGCCGGUACUGGUUCUACCAUUCUGCGUGCCUAAGCAGCCAAAACGCAAUCGCC
This 1568-nucleotide ribosomal RNA is filed under the name Lacticaseibacillus paracasei. Its description in RNAcentral is "Lactobacillus paracasei 16S ribosomal RNA". Lineage: Bacteria; Bacillati; Bacillota; Bacilli; Lactobacillales; Lactobacillaceae. The record is from RNAcentral.